RNAcentral lists this ribosomal RNA (644 nucleotides) under Bacillus sonorensis. Its description in RNAcentral is "bacterial SSU rRNA". It matches the Rfam family "Bacterial small subunit ribosomal RNA", at positions 119 to 747 of the family's 1533-position model. Lineage: Bacteria; Bacillati; Bacillota; Bacilli; Caryophanales; Bacillaceae. The record is from RNAcentral.
GGGUAACCUGCCUGUAAGACUGGGAUAACUCCGGGAAACCGGGGCUAAUACCGGAUGCUUGAUUGAACCGCAUGGUUCAAUUAUAAAAGGUGGCUUUUAGCUACCACUUACAGAUGGACCCGCGGCGCAUUAGCUAGUUGGUGAGGUAACGGCUCACCAAGGCAACGAUGCGUAGCCGACCUGAGAGGGUGAUCGGCCACACUGGGACUGAGACACGGCCCAGACUCCUACGGGAGGCAGCAGUAGGGAAUCUUCCGCAAUGGACGAAAGUCUGACGGAGCAACGCCGCGUGAGUGAUGAAGGUUUUCGGAUCGUAAAACUCUGUUGUUAGGGAAGAACAAGUACCGUUCGAAUAGGGCGGUACCUUGACGGUACCUAACCAGAAAGCCACGGCUAACUACGUGCCAGCAGCCGCGGUAAUACGUAGGUGGCAAGCGUUGUCCGGAAUUAUUGGGCGUAAAGCGCGCGCAGGCGGUUUCUUAAGUCUGAUGUGAAAGCCCCCGGCUCAACCGGGGAGGGUCAUUGGAAACUGGGGAACUUGAGUGCAGAAGAGGAGAGUGGAAUUCCACGUGUAGCGGUGAAAUGCGUAGAGAUGUGGAGGAACACCAGUGGCGAAGGCGACUCUCUGGUCUGUAACUGACGCU